Molecule: ribosomal RNA, 587 nt
Filed under: uncultured bacterium
Lineage: Bacteria
Description: partial 16S ribosomal RNA
Rfam family: Bacterial small subunit ribosomal RNA
Source: RNAcentral
UGGGGAAUUUUGGACAAUGGGGGCAACCCUGAUCCAGCAAUGCCGCGUGUGUGAAGAAGGCCUUCGGGUUGUAAAGCACUUUUGUCCGGAAAGAAAACGUCGUGGUUAAUACCCGUGGCGGCUGACGGUACCGGAAGAAUAAGCACCGGCUAACUACGUGCCAGCAGCCGCGGUAAUACGUAGGGUGCAAGCGUUAAUCGGAAUUACUGGGCGUAAAGCGUGCGCAGGCGGUCCGCUAAGACAGAUGUGAAAUCCCCGGGCUUAACCUGGGAACUGCAUUUGUGACUGGCGGGCUAGAGUAUGGCAGAGGGGGGUAGAAUUCCACGUGUAGCAGUGAAAUGCGUAGAGAUGUGGAGGAAUACCGAUGGCGAAGGCAGCCCCCUGGGCCAAUACUGACGCUCAUGCACGAAAGCGUGGGGGAGCAAACAGGAUUAGAUACCCUGGUAGUCCACGCCCUAAACGAUGUCAACUAGUUGUCGGGUCUUCAUUGACUUGGUAACGUAGCUAACGCGUGAAGUUGACCGCCUGGGGAGUACGGUCGCAAGAUUAAAACUCAAAUGAAUUGACGGGGUCAUAGCUGUUUCCUG